UAGAGUUUGAUCAUGGCUCAGGAUGAACGCUAGCGACAGGCUUAACACAUGCAAGUCGAGGGGCAGCGGGGAGGUAGCAAUACUUCCGCCGGCGACCGGCGCACGGGUGAGUAACACGUAUGGAACCUGCCCGUAGCAGGGGGAUAAACGGAAGAAAUUCCGUCUAAUACCGCGUAAUAACUCCGAGAGGCAUCUCAUGGAGUUUAAAGGGUAACACCGGCUACGGAUGGCCAUGCGGCGCAUUAGCUAGUUGGCGGGGUAACGGCCCACCAAGGCGACGAUGCGUAGGGGUUCUGAGAGGAAGGUCCCCCACACUGGUACUGAGACACGGACCAGACUCCUACGGGAGGCAGCAGUGAGGAAUAUUGGUCAAUGGGCGCGAGCCUGAACCAGCCAAGUCGCGUGAGGGAAGACGGUCCUAUGGAUUGUAAACCUCUUUUGUCGGGGAGCAAAAGACGCCACGUGUGGCGUUCCGAGAGUACCCGAAGAAAAAGCAUCGGCUAACUCCGUGCCAGCAGCCGCGGUAAUACGGAGGAUGCGAGCGUUAUCCGGAUUUAUUGGGUUUAAAGGGUGCGCAGGCGGAAGAUCAAGUCAGCGGUAAAAUUGAGAGGCUCAACCUCUUCGAGCCGUUGAAACUGGUUUUCUUGAGUGAGCGAGAAGUAUGCGGAAUGCGUGGUGUAGCGGUGAAAUGCAUAGAUAUCACGCAGAACUCCGAUUGCGAAGGCAGCAUACCGGCGCUCAACUGACGCUCAUGCACGAAAGUGUGGGUAUCGAACAGGAUUAGAUACCCUGGUAGUCCACACAGUAAACGAUGAAUACUAAUUGUUCGGGGAGAAUGAUCCCUGAGUGAUACAGCGAAAGCGUUAAGUAUUCCACCUGGGGAGUACGCCGGCAACGGUGAAACUCAAAGGAAUUGACGGGGGCCCGCACAAGCGGAGGAACAUGUGGUUUAAUUCGAUGAUACGCGAGGAACCUUACCCGGGCUCAAACGACACAGGAAUACUUUUGAAAGGAGGUAGCUCUACGGAGUCUGUGUCGAGGUGCUGCAUGGUUGUCGUCAGCUCGUGCCGUGAGGUGUCGGCUUAAGUGCCAUAACGAGCGCAACCCCCAUCGCCAGUUACCAGCAAGUCAAGUUGGGGACUCUGGCGAGACUGCCGGCGCAAGCUGUGAGGAAGGCGGGGAUGACGUCAAAUCAGCACGGCCCUUACGUCCGGGGCGACACACGUGUUACAAUGGCAGGUACAGAGAGAAGCAAUGCGGCGACGCAAAGCGGAACUUGAAAGCCUGUCUCAGUUCGGAUUGGAGUCUGCAACUCGACUCCAUGAAGCUGGAUUCGCUAGUAAUCGCGCAUCAGCCAUGGCGCGGUGAAUACGUUCCCGGGCCUUGUACACACCGCCCGUCAAGCCAUGGAAGCCGGGAGUGCCUGAAGUGUGCAACCGCAAGGAGCGCCCUAAGGUAAAACUGGUGACUGGGGCUAAGUCGUAACAAGGUAACCA
RNAcentral lists this ribosomal RNA (1496 nucleotides) under uncultured bacterium. RNAcentral's name for it is "partial 16S ribosomal RNA". It matches the Rfam family "Bacterial small subunit ribosomal RNA". The record is from RNAcentral.